AUUACCCCGCAGUUGUAGCGUAAGCUUCUAGUGAUCGUAAGCUUCAAUAAUGUAAACGCGACUUUUCAAAUUAAAAAAAAAAAAACUGUCAACAUCGUACGCAAUUGUUUCAUUGUUAGGUCUUUUUGAAAGGAGGCAACGCAACAAAUAACAUUCAGUUCUCCGCAGGGAACUAAACAAGGCUGUUGAGAAAGAUUGGUCUACCUCACAAGAGAAUUUGAAGGGAAGACAUUUAAGGAGAGGACUCUAGCGCAACCAUGAAGCGUUUUUUUUUCUUCAUGAUAACUUGGGCCUUGGUGGCGGCAGUCCCUCGUGACAACCGAGCUCGGGAUGAAAACCAAGACAAAGACCGUGGUAAGUGUAUCAGCCGUCUUCCUUUAGCAAUUGUAAGUAGCAGUAGAACAUUAAUUUUUGUUUCACUUUUUUAUUCUUGUAAAUUGCUGCAAUAUUGUUGCUAACAUUUUGUACUAUAUCAAACAUUACAUCUAAUAAGCUACACGCUUGGAUAUGGACGUUACAUUCAAGUUAUGGUGGUGGGAGUUAACCAAAUUAUAAGCCCCAAAUUCUCUUCCAUCGACGUAAAAAAAAAUCAUAAGCGUAAAAACGUACCAUUUGUUCCCUGUCAGCGUCCACUUGGAAUUUAGUUUUUUACCAAUUAAUAGUUUGACCGCAAGAAAAGUUAAUAUGAUUAUUUUUUCCCAAGAGGGCACGGUAACGAAUCCUGCAAUCUGACUGACUCUUAGCGCGGUCUGGAUUUUUCUACGUGCCGUCUACAAACCAGCGCAAAAAAUCUAACGAGCUAACUAGCGAUUAACCUAGAUACUAGACAAAGAAAGGUGUAUUAAAUAGCAGAUUUAUUUCGAACUAAUUUAUGAUAGUUGCAUCUAGUUCAAUUAAUUUCUCCAAAAUUGUUUUCCCGGCGUGGAAUUUCGUGCAAAGAUUGAAGUUUUACUUCACAGUUGAUCAUUUUUUUUUUAGUUUCUGAUCCAAGAAGAACAAAUCCUGUUUUUCCGUUAUGCUUAAUUAUUGCAGUAAAAAAUCAAGAGCUCCGCUUUUAGACCUGGCUAAAUCUAUCGCCGCUUUUCAUGUG
Long non-coding RNA from Orbicella faveolata, 1090 nucleotides. The record is from RefSeq and is a predicted model, not a curated record. Lineage: Eukaryota; Metazoa; Cnidaria; Anthozoa; Scleractinia; Merulinidae.